CUACGAGGGUUUAUUAAUCCAUUGCAGCCGAGCCGUCUCGCAACUCUCUCGGUCAAAGAACCAUAGGAUUUCCAGUGAGGAUUUAUUUAGAUUUCAGAUACGACGUGAAGAGAUUUAUAAUGGCUGUCGCAGAAAUUGCAUACUUUCCACGAAGAUUGAGUCAAACCGAAACAAGAACCAUAGCUGCUGCUUAAUUGUCCCAAGAAACUGGCUUACUGCAGGUUUAACCAAUCCGGAUACGGACUUCUCGGAAUCUUGCAGUUCAACCGGAGACACGCGUGUCGGAUGACGUUAAAGGAUCUCAAAGGGACGAUUAUAAGACACGCAUUAUGCGAUAAUGCAGUUAAACAUGGGUUCGUUCACAGCUGUAAUUACGCAUUACGUGAUAUAAUAUGAUUCAUUUAUGUGCUUUUGUAUACAAUGUGUACGUCGAUGAAAUGAUUUAACUUUAAAUUACGUUAGCGAUAUUUCUUCCGGCAAAAAAUGAAACAAUCUAUUUAAAUUCAAUUUUUUUUAAUUAAUAUUUUUUAUUGUAAAGAAUGCAAUUAUUAUUGAAAAAACGUAAUUAGAAUUACUGUUAAUUAGAAUAUGUUAACAAGAGGGAAAAAUAUCAUAUGUUUUAAUGUAGAUAAAAAUCACUCCAUUUAAAUUCUCAUACAUUUAUUUACAUUUAGAAUUAAUAACAAUUAUG
Long non-coding RNA from Pogonomyrmex barbatus (red harvester ant), 691 nucleotides. RefSeq lists it as uncharacterized. NCBI's taxonomy places the organism in Eukaryota, Metazoa, Arthropoda, Insecta, Hymenoptera, Formicidae. The record is from RefSeq and is a predicted model, not a curated record.